ACGGAAGGCAGCAGUGGGGAAUAUUGCACAAUGGGGGAAACCCUGAUGCAGCAACGCCACGUGUGGGAAGAAGCAUUUCGGUGUGUAAACCACUGUCGUGAAGGAAUAAUGCUGGACCUCGGUCCAGUUGAAUGUACUUUGAAAGGAAGCACCGGCACACUUCGUGCCAGCAGCCGCGGUAAUACGAGGGGUGCAAGCGUUGUUCGGAAUCACUGGGCGUAAAGGGAGCGCAGGCGGAAGUGCAAGCGGUCUGUACAAUACCGGGGCCCAACCCCGGACCUGCAGACCGGACUGCGUUUCUUGGAUAGUUCAGGGGCAAGCGGAAUUCCUGGUGUAGCGGUGGAAUGCGUAGAGAUCAGGAAGAACACCGAUGGCGAAGGCAGCUUGCUGGGGAAUUAUCGACGCUCAGGCUCGAAAGUGCGGGUAGCGAACAGGAUUAGAUACCCUGGUA
This 451-nucleotide ribosomal RNA is filed under the name uncultured Fibrobacter sp. RNAcentral describes it as "partial 16S ribosomal RNA". It matches the Rfam family "Bacterial small subunit ribosomal RNA", at positions 341 to 792 of the family's 1533-position model. The record is from RNAcentral. Lineage: Bacteria; Pseudomonadati; Fibrobacterota; Fibrobacteria; Fibrobacterales; Fibrobacteraceae.